AGUCCGGCCCGCGCGGGCGGACGGCUGAUUCGAAUUAACGGUUUGCCUUGGAACAGCCUCGCUCCGUUUGAGCUCGCUGCCGUUUAAACCCGGCAUGCAAAGGGCUGUGCCUCCUGUGCUCGGAGCGGAGCGGGGGGCAGUGUGGUGCGUUCCCGCCCCACCCGGCGUCAAACGAGCACAGCAGCGUGUGCGCCUAGUGGGGCAGCCCCAGCGAGUUCCUGGGCUUCACAGCUCGCUACCAUCCGCUGGAUUUCUUUUUAAACUCUUCACACGCAUUAAUGACUCUUUCGCCUUUUGAAAAAUAGUUUUAAUGUUUGACUAAUUAAGCUGGCCCUUCUUUUGCAAGUCUGCUGUCCAUUAGCCAUGCAGCUUCUCUUGCACAGCCCUGUAGAGAGUUUGUAACUGUAGGUAGAAAUAUUACCUCAGGUGUGGAAUUAACUUUCUGUGAAGUGUGAUGAAGACGCUCAAGAGAAUCAUGUUUUAUGAAUCCUGAUGAGACGUACAUCUAACUGUAAUGACCACAAUGUAAAGCAUUGUAAAGCAGCAAUGAUUAAUACAAAAUAGAUGACUGUCAUGCACAAAGUGAUACAGGCAGGAUUGGGAAGAAGAUAACCAUUAGAAGGCUAUGUGGAUGUAAACAGUUACUUCCACUAUUAAAUGGUCAAUUGCGUUCAACAUCUCUCAUCUUCUCAGCAGUGAAGGGCCUCAGACUUCAGCUUUGAUACUGAAAUUCAUUACACUUGUUCAGAGUCUCCAAUGAAGCUAGAGAGGCUUCAGCUUUGCUUGUACAGACCUGUUGACUCCUAGGGUGAUAAUAAACAUUACAGAUAAUCAAAACUGUAUAUAAAGUGCAUGUUCUAAUUUUAGUAUAAAUAUAUUGAUAUUCAGUGAAUUAGUUAUUCAGUAUUGAAUAUUGAUAUUCAGUAAGUUAUUCAGUAACUUUCUGUAGUUUAUGUAUUGCUCUGUUGUAACUAUCCUAACCAGACACUGCAGAAUUCUUAGAGGUUGCCACUGAAGAAUCAAAGUGUUAAUAAGCAUUUGAAUAUAGCUGGGGUAAAAAAAUGUUAGAAGUGUUAUGUAAGAGAAAGGAAUAUUGGCAUUACAUAGUCUAAAAAGCCCAAAUUACGCAUCUAAUUGAAAAGAUAAGAAUCUUACUUGGGACCAGAUCUUUGCCAGUGUUAAACCUUCCAAGAACCACAGAACUGGUUUGGUUUAGUUAUGUGGGGACUUAGGGCAAUGAGAUUUCAUUACUGUUUCUGUUAGUUACACCCUUAAGAUAGGUGCCAAUAUGUUUGGAACUAGCAAGGCUAAGAGGGGGAUACUGGUUUGUGGGCAGCUCAGUGUCUCCAUAUACAAUGCCCAGGUUUUUGUGCCCUGGAGAAGUCACUCCAGCUUCACUUUAUUUUCAAGCGACGGUUAUGUUCAACCAGCCGAUAUCUCACUUGUUGUAAUUCUGUUGUCUCACAAGACAGACAGAUGUCUACUACUACUACACUCUUAAACACUCACAUUGGAAAAAGACUUGUAAAACAACCAGUAUUGUUAUGCAAUCCUAGACAGAAGGCAAACAAAGGGAAUUUAGUAAAAACAUUUUUACCUUGUAUUCUUGUACUUUUUUUCCUUCUUUUUUUGUUCAGUGCCGUUUUAUUAGUUUUAUACUAGUGAAAUUCAUUUCUGUUUGGGUUGUCUGAGAGGUCUCAUUUGCCAUUUACAAAACUAAGUGACAAACUGGUAAAUUCAGCAACCAGAGCAGAGUGAAUUGGUUAACUGGCCAACGAACAAUUGUUUCCAUCUUGUAGGCAGCAGACCCAUUUUAAGAACUGUUUUACACUCCGUUACCAGAGCAAUUUAGGAUUCCUGCAGUAUGUUUUCUGUAAUACAUGUAAAGGAUUUGAUCGUUCCUUUUCAAAAGGGAUUUUUGUAUGAAAGUUAAAUCACUAAAACCAAGUGUGAGGCUAAAUAGUAUCUCUUUAUUUUCUGUAGGAAUCUUGUGUUUCUAAUAGAUGAUUGUGCCAUAGGAAAAAAAACAACAGAUUAUAUACCAUUAUCACACCACCACCACCCUCAACAUUCUGUUUUCAUCACAGUCUAAUUCCUAAGCAAACUAUUCAAAGAAUCCAAAACAUGGAGAGUCUCAGCGUUAUGAUUUAAAUGCUUUGGGUUCUGAGGGCUCUAUUAUGCAAAGUUAAAUAUGUGAAUACUUCCAUCACUAUUCUGUGAAGCACUUAAGUUUUAGACUAAAGUUAUUUGCUGCACUGGGGCCCAAGGUAAAGGUAUUUUUUUUAAUUUAUCCCUGGCAGUACUUCACAAAAUGACACUAAAUCUAUACCAUAGAGAGCUUAAGCAAUGUAGCACCUGACAUGCAUUUGAUGCAAGGAGUAGAGGGGAUAAAAAAGAUCAUUCUCUUUGAAGGACCUAUUCAAAGCCCACUAAUGUAAACUCAAAUUUAAAUUGUCAAAAUGGAGCUUAGAUGAAGUUUAAGUGAUACAUAGGUCUUAUGUUGGUCUUCUGAACAAGAUCGAUUUCAUCCUGGGCUUGAAUUUCUUCACUUAGCACAAGUAAAAAACUGAAUAAUUAUCUUUGUACUGAAGUACUGUACUAAACUCUUGGAGAAUUUAAUUUAUAUAAUAUGGAUUUACCUAUAACAAUUUGAAGUUCACUAAUUAAGUCUUAAAGCUCAUAAUGUUCCUGUCCCUGUGGUUAUUAAUAGACACCAGUCAUAAUUUUGUUUAAAAAGCAGGUGUUGUAGAUUAGCCAGGAGAUGGCACCAGUAAAUCCUGCGGUAGGACAUAAAACUGUAGUAAUCCUUAUAUUUUUCCUCAAGUACUUUUAAAAAAAUGGAAGAACUGGACAAAAUAUUGUGGGUUAAUUAAGAUAUUAAAAUAGUCAUGGAAGAAACCAUUUCAGUAACACGAAACAACAUUUUUUCUACCAGGUGUGAUAAUGAGUUGAAACUUCAUUACUUUAAUCAAGCUGCAACAAAAAUCAACAUAGUCACAUGGUUUUAAAAGUAGUUUCAAUAAUUUGUGUUCUAUCAACAUGUUUUAUAUAACAAUUAAGAAGUUUAAGUUUGUGCGAUUCUUCUGAGCAGCUGUAGAGUUGUGAUAUCAGGGCUCCUUAGACUAGAGGACUACAAUGUAAGCCCAAAGAAUGCUCCAAAGUGAAAAAAAAAUGGAGACAGAGAGUUGUUUGUAAGCCUUUAGUGCUUUGUCUAGAUCUGUAUAUUUCUUGUUUCACCUAAAGUAAACAAAAGUGAUUCUACA
Long non-coding RNA from Alligator mississippiensis (American alligator), 3263 nucleotides. RefSeq lists it as uncharacterized. NCBI's taxonomy places the organism in Eukaryota, Metazoa, Chordata, Crocodylia, Alligatoridae. The transcript is spliced from 3 exons. The record is from RefSeq and is a predicted model, not a curated record.